RNAcentral lists this ribosomal RNA (280 nucleotides) under uncultured Alistipes sp. RNAcentral describes it as "partial 16S ribosomal RNA". It matches the Rfam family "Bacterial small subunit ribosomal RNA", at positions 62 to 339 of the family's 1533-position model. The record is from RNAcentral. Lineage: Bacteria; Pseudomonadati; Bacteroidota; Bacteroidia; Bacteroidales; Rikenellaceae.
UCGAGGGGCAGCACGGUGUAGCAAUACACUGGUGGCGACCGGCGCACGGGUGCGUAACGCGUAUGCAACCUACCCAUAACAGGGGGAUAACACUGAGAAAUUGGUACUAAUACCCCAUAACAUCAUGAAAGGCAUCUUUUAUGGUUGAAAAUUCCGAUGGUUAGAGAUGGGCAUGCGUUGUAUUAGCUAGUUGGUGAGGUAACGGCCCACCUAGUCUUCGAUGGAUAGGGGUUCUGAGAGGAAGGUCCCCACAUUGGAACUGAGACACGGUCCAAACUCC